GAAAGCGGAGCUAAUACCGCAUAACACCAUGGAGUAUAAGCUCUCAUGGUCAAAGCCUUCGGGCGCUUGAGGAUGAGCUUGCGGCUUAUUAGCUAGUUGGUGGGGUAACGGCCUACCAAGGUAAUGAUGAGUAGCCGGCCUGAGAGGGUGUACGGCCACACUGGAACUUAGACACGGUCCAGACUCCUACGGGAGGCAGCAGUGAGGAAUUUUGCGCAAUGGGGGAAACCCUGACGCAGCGACGCCGCGUGGAGGAUUAAGGCCUUCGGGUUGUAAACUCCUGUCAGUGGUGAAGAAUGCCCCUUUGGGGGUUUGACGGUAACCACAGAGGAAGUCCCGGCUAACUACGUGCCAGCAGCCGCGGUAAUACGUAGGGGACGAACGUUGCUCGGAAUUACUGGGCGUAAAGGGUGCGUAGGUGGCUGAGUAAGUCGUAGAUGAAAUCCCCGGGCUCAACUCGGGAACUGUCUCCGAAACUGCUCAGCUUGAGGAUGGUUGAGGAAAGCGGAAUUCCCGGUGGAGCGGUGAAAUGCGUA
Molecule: ribosomal RNA, 536 nt
Filed under: uncultured bacterium
Lineage: Bacteria
Description: bacterial SSU rRNA
Rfam family: Bacterial small subunit ribosomal RNA
Source: RNAcentral